RNAcentral lists this ribosomal RNA (497 nucleotides) under uncultured bacterium. RNAcentral describes it as "partial 16S ribosomal RNA". It matches the Rfam family "Bacterial small subunit ribosomal RNA", at positions 28 to 507 of the family's 1533-position model. The record is from RNAcentral.
GAUGAACGCUGGCGGCGUGCCUAAUACAUGCAAGUCGAGCGAACAGACCAGGAGCUUGCUCCCCUGACGUUAGCGGCGGACGGGCGAGUACCACGUGGUUAACCUACCUAUAAGACUGGGAUAGCAUCGGCAAAACGGGGCUACUACCCGAUAAUUUAUUGAAUCGCAUGGUUCAAUAGUGAAAGUCGGUUUUGCUUUUAGUAAUAGAUGGAUCCGCGCCGCAUUAGGUACUUGGUAAGGUAACGGCUUACCAACGCAGCGAGGCGUAGCCGACCUGAGAGAGUGACCGGACACACUGGAAGUGAGGCACGGUCCAGACUCCUCAGGGGAGCAGCAGUACGGACUCUUCCGCAAUGGGGGAGAGCCGGACGGAGCACCGCCGCGGGAGUGAUGAAGUUCUUCGGAUCGUAGAGUUAUGUUGUUAGGGGAGAACAAAUGUGUAAGUAACUAUGCACAUCUUGACGGUACCUAAUCAGUAAGCCACGGCUAACUUCGUG